Molecule: transfer RNA, 89 nt
Filed under: Thermoplasmata archaeon
Lineage: Archaea; Methanobacteriati; Thermoplasmatota; Thermoplasmata
Also listed under: 3 other names
Description: tRNA-Ser
Rfam family: tRNA
About the family: Transfer RNA (tRNA) molecules are approximately 80 nucleotides in length. Their secondary structure includes four short double-helical elements and three loops (D, anti-codon, and T loops).
Source: RNAcentral
GCCGAGAUGGCCCAGCCCGGUAAGGCGCGAGCCUGGAAAGCUCGUGGGCGCCUUUGCCCUCGGGAGUUCAAAUCUCCCUCUCGGCGCCA